RNAcentral lists this long non-coding RNA (1077 nucleotides) under Ananas comosus (pineapple). Its description in RNAcentral is "long non-coding RNA (ACOM_LNC023987)". The record is from RNAcentral. Lineage: Eukaryota; Viridiplantae; Streptophyta; Magnoliopsida; Poales; Bromeliaceae.
AAAAGGAAAGGGCACGUAUAGAAAAUUUAUUAGAACGAUUAAAGAACAUAGAGUGAGAAAGAUAUAAACAUUAUUUGUGAUGGCCGGAAUGAUUCUUAAUGUAGUUUUAUAUUUUUAAAGACAAUUAAUAAUGAAUGUGUGAAGAAAAAUAAAUAUAGUAUUGUAAAUUUAAUUAAAGAGGUAUUUUUGAAAAUUGGUCCACCGAAAGUAGUAGAAAUUAUAAUUGACAGCAUGCAUGUAGGGUAGCGAGAAGAAUUAUAGAACAAUAAUUUUCUCACGUUUUAUCUCAUGUGUUGUAUACAUUUUAAAUAUUACUUCAAAAACUAUUUGUCUUGUUAGGAAUACAAAGAAUAAUUUUCAACGCGUCAGGAAUGCGACGCGGACGCGGCAUGAAUGUUGAGUGACGCAGGUCUAUGCCGCGUCCCUAAACCCUAAUUAAAACUUUGAAACAAAAUUAAUUCCGAUAGAAGAAAAUAUGGUAUUGCCGCAUCAUAAACCUAUAUUUAAAUUUCGAAGUCUAAAUAUCAUUGACUUUGUGAGGACUGAGAUUUUGGCAGUGUAGCUAAACUCUCUGUUGACGAUAUUUUUAUGUGUAAUUUAAUUACAUAAGCACUCGUCAAGUUUCAGAAGAAAACGAGUUAGAAUGAAGAAGUUAUGCGAUAAAUACUAUUCACUUAAGUGAAUAGUAACUCCGAUUUUUCGGAGAAGCCACGAAGUAGAGUUGGCUUCUGGCGCGUAUCGGACUCCUUUCAUAGCAGUCCAAUAGCUCGUUUCGAACGGUUCAGCUAUUCUGGAACCAUUCGCGUUGACGGAUUUUGGGUUUGAAGCACGAAUUUCGAGAAAAUCGGAAAAUACAUGUUUUAUAUGUAUUUGUGUGUUACUUGUCUGUUGGAGAGAGUGAACGGGUUUCGUCGCGAAUCCGUGACCGAUCGUGGCGAAAUGAAAUGGUAGGUUUAUUGUCUCCAUUGUGCUGAUCGCACUGGUACGAUCCGUUCGCAAAUCUGACGGACGGAUCGCUAGAUGUCACACGUUGAUCAAGGAGGGGUCUUUAGUGGCAAAACGGUAUUUUUGCGAAAA